This is a small nuclear RNA of Callorhinus ursinus (northern fur seal), 194 nucleotides long. RefSeq annotates it as U2 spliceosomal RNA. Lineage: Eukaryota; Metazoa; Chordata; Mammalia; Carnivora; Otariidae. The record is from RefSeq and is a predicted model, not a curated record.
AUUGCGUCUCGGCUUUUUGGCUAAAUUCAAGUGUAGUAUCUGUUCUUGUCAGUUUAAUAUUUUUUAUUUAUUUAAUGUUCUUUUUUAAAUUAAUUAUUUAUUUAUUUGAGAGACAGCAUGAGAGAGAGAGAGAGAGAGCAUGGGGGGGAGGGUCAGAGGGAGAAGCAGACUCCCUGCUGAGCAGGGAGCCCAGC